UACGUAGGGGGCAAGCGUUGUCCGGAAUUAUUGGGCGUAAAGCGCGUGUAGGCGGCUCGGUAAGUCUGCUGUGAAAGUCCAGGGCUCAACCCUGGAACGCCGGUGGAUACUGUCGAGCUCGAGUCCGGAAGAGGCGAGUGGAAUUCCUGGUGUAGCGGUGAAAUGCGCAGAUAUCAGGAGGAACACCAAUGGCGAAGGCAGCUCGCUGGGACGGUACUGACGCUGAGGUGCGAAAGCAUGGGGAGCAAACAGG
RNAcentral lists this ribosomal RNA (253 nucleotides) under uncultured bacterium. RNAcentral describes it as "partial 16S ribosomal RNA". It matches the Rfam family "Bacterial small subunit ribosomal RNA", at positions 524 to 776 of the family's 1533-position model. The record is from RNAcentral.